GAUCCUAUGCUGUCGAGAAAAGCCUCUAGCGAGUUUCAUGGCGGCCCGUACCCCAAACCGACUCAGGUGGUCAGGUAGAGAAUACCGAGGCGUUCGGGUGAACUGUGGUUAAGGAACUCGGCAAAAUGCCCCCGUAACUUCGGGAGAAGGGGGGCCAUUGCUGGUGAUGGGACUUGCUCCUUGAGCUGGUGGUGGCCGCAGAGACCAGCGAGAAGCGACUGUUUACUAAAAACACAGGUCCGUGCGAAGCCGUAAGGCGAUGUAUACGGACUGACGCCUGCCCGGUGCUGGAACGUUAAGGGGACCGGUUAGUCCGACUUCGGUCGGGCGAAGCUGAGAACUUAAGCGCCAGUAAACGGCGGUGGUAACUAUAACCAUCCUAAGGUAGCGAAAUUCCUUGUCGGGUAAGUUCCGACCUGCACGAAUGGCGUAACGACUUCUCGACUGUCUCAACCACAGGCCCGGUGAAAUUGCAUUACGAGUAAAGAUGCUCGUUUCGCGCAGCAGGACGGAAAGACCCCGGGACCACUAUAGCUUGAUAUUGGUGUUCGGUUCGGCUUGUGUAGGAUAGGUGGGAGACUUUGAAGCAGCAACGCCAGUUGUUGUGGAGUCGCCGUUGAAAUACCACUCUGGUCGUGCUGGAUGUCUAACCUGGGUCCGUGAUCCGGAUCAGGGACAGUGUCUGGUGGGUAGUUUAACUGGGGCGGUUGCCUCCUAAAGGGUAACGGAGGCGCCCAAAGGUUCCCUCAGCCUGGUUGGCAAUCAGGUGUUGAGUGUAAGUGCACAAGGGAGCUUGACUGUGAGACUGACGGGUCGAGCAGGUACGAAAGUAGGGACUAGUGAUCCGGCGGUGGCUUGUGGAAGCGCCGUCGCUCAACGGAUAAAGGUACCCCGGGGAUAACAGGCUGAUCUUCCCCAAGAGUCCAUAUCGACGGGAUGGUUUGGCACCUCGAUGUCGGCUCGUCGCAUCCUGGGGCUGGAGUAGGUCCCAAGGGUUGGGCUGUUCGCCCAUUAAAGCGGUACGCGAGCUGGGUUUAGAACGUCGUGAGACAGUUCGGUCCCUAUCCGCUGUGCGCGUAGGAGUGUUGAGAAGGGCUGUCCCUAGUACGAGAGGACCGGGACGGACGAACCUCUGGUGUGCCAGUUGUCCUGCCAAGGGCAUGGCUGGUUGGCUACGUUCGGGAGGGAUAACCGCUGAAAGCAUCUAAGCGGGAAGCCUGCUUCGAGAUGAGCACUCCCACCUCCUUGAGAGGGUAAGGCUCCCAGUAGACGACUGGGUUGAUAGGCCGGAUAUGGAAGCCCUGUGAGGGGUGGAGUUGACCGGUACUAAUAGGCCGAGGGCUUGUCCU
RNAcentral lists this ribosomal RNA (1349 nucleotides) under Kitasatospora cheerisanensis KCTC 2395. RNAcentral describes it as "bacterial LSU rRNA". It matches the Rfam family "Bacterial large subunit ribosomal RNA", at positions 1596 to 2925 of the family's 2925-position model. The record is from RNAcentral. Lineage: Bacteria; Bacillati; Actinomycetota; Actinomycetes; Kitasatosporales; Streptomycetaceae.